AGAGUUUGAUCCUGGCUCAGGAUGAACGCUAGCGGCAGGCUUAACACAUGCAAGUCGAGGGGCAGCACGGGUAGCAAUACUUGGUGGCGACCGGCGCAAGGGCAAGGGUGCGUAACGCGUGAGCAACAUGCCCGUAUCAGGGGGAUAAUCCAGGGAAACUUGGUCUAAUACCCCAUAGUAAUCUUUGAAGGCAUCUAUAGAAAUUUAAAGCUUUGGUACUUACAGAUGAAUCCGCGUGACAUUAGCUGGAUGGUAGGGUAACGGCCUACCAUGGCUACGAUGUCUAGGGGUUCUGAGAGGAAGAUCCCCCACACUGGAACUGAGACACGGUCCAGACUCCUACGGGAGGCAGCAGUGAGGAAUAUUGGACAAUGGAUGGAAAUCUGAUCCAGCCAUGCCGCGUGCAGGAAGACGGCCCUAUGGGUUGUAAACUGCUUUUAUACACCAAGAAAAACUCCCACGUGUGGGGACCCGACGGUAGUGUAUGAAUAAGCACCGGCUAACUCCGUGCCAGCAGCCGCGGUAAUACGGAGGAUGCGAGCGUUAUCCGGAUUUAUUGGGUUUAAAGGGUGCGUAGGCGGUCUAUUAAGUCAGCGGUGAAAGUUUUCAGCUUAACUGGAAAAAUGCCGUUGAUACUGAUAGGCUAGAAUAUGGUUGCUGUGGGUGGAAUGUGUGGUGUAGCGGUGAAAUGCGUAGAUAUGUGGAGGAACACCAGUGGCGAAGGCAGCUCACAAAGCCAUUAUUGACGCUGAGGCACGAAAGUGUGGGGAUCAAACAGGAUUAGAUACCCUGGUAGUCCACACCGUAAACGAUGAUAACUCGCUGUCGGCGAUAAACAGUCGGUAGCCAAGCGAAAGCGAUAAGUUAUCCACCUGGGGAGUACGACCGCAAGGUUGAAACUCAAAGGAAUUGACGGGGGCCCGCACAAGCGGAGGAACAUGUGGUUUAAUUCGAUGAUACGCGAGGAACCUUACCCGGGCUCGAACGGUGCAGGAAUAUGUCAGAGAUGUCAUAGCUAGCAAUAGUCUGUAUCGAGGUGCUGCAUGGUUGUCGUCAGCUCGUGCCGUGAGGUGUCGGCUUAAGUGCCAUAACGAGCGCAACCCUUGUCGUUAGUUGCCAUCAAGUAAUGUUGGGGACUCUAGCGAGACUGCCACCGUAAGGUGUGAGGAAGGGGGGGAUGACGUCAAAUCAGCACGGCCCUUACGUCCGGGGCGACACACGUGUUACAAUGGCCGAUACAAAGGGCAGCUACCAGGUGACUGGAUGCGAAUCUUUAAAAUCGGUCCCAGUUCGGAUCGGAGUCUGCAACUCGACUCCGUGAAGUUGGAUUCGCUAGUAAUCGCGCAUCAGCCAUGGCGCGGUGAAUACGUUCCCGGGCCUUGUACACACCGCCCGUCAAGCCAUGGAAGCUGGGGGUGCCUGAAGUUCGUGACCGCAAGGAGCGACCUAGGGCAAAACUAGUAACUGGGGCUAAGUCGUAACAAGGUAACC
RNAcentral lists this ribosomal RNA (1491 nucleotides) under uncultured bacterium. Its description in RNAcentral is "bacterial SSU rRNA". It matches the Rfam family "Bacterial small subunit ribosomal RNA". The record is from RNAcentral.